RNAcentral lists this long non-coding RNA (510 nucleotides) under Phasianus colchicus (ring-necked pheasant). RNAcentral describes it as "lncRNA (ENSPCLG00000016634.1)". Lineage: Eukaryota; Metazoa; Chordata; Aves; Galliformes; Phasianidae. The record is from RNAcentral.
CAUUUUUGGGGGCACUUCCAGCCACUGUUCGUUUUCCAUUUGGAAAUGGGUGGGAAAUUGAGCAAAAUUGGGGCUGAAAUGGGGACGACCCACCCGGGGUGAAACACCGCCUUCUGAAGCCAUCGCCCCGAGUCCGUUCAGAUCUCCAAUUUGGGUGAAAAACAGCACAAAUACCUAUUUUCUCCCUUUCCUACACGUUUUUUGGGAGGUUUUGCUGCCGGGUUCUCUCUGCCUUUUCGUGUCGAGCGUCCACGCUGCCUCGGUUUUGGGAUAAUUUCCUGCGGUUUUGGUGCUUUCACUGAUCUGUGCGAAGAUCCCUUGCUGCCAACACCCUUUUUUUUUUUUUUUUUUUUUUUUUUUUUUUUCCUUUUUUUUCCUCUAAAUUUCUCCUCCCUGCCUCGUCGCCGCCUUCGCUCUUCCACUCCCGGCUCCAAAAAAAAUCCCAAAUCUUCCUAAAACGCCCCCAAAAAAACCAGCUCCUCCGGGAAACCGAAACUCCUCUCCUCCUGC